This 72-nucleotide transfer RNA is filed under the name Camelus bactrianus (Bactrian camel). It matches the Rfam family "tRNA". Rfam says of the family: Transfer RNA (tRNA) molecules are approximately 80 nucleotides in length. Their secondary structure includes four short double-helical elements and three loops (D, anti-codon, and T loops). The record is from Rfam by way of RNAcentral. Lineage: Eukaryota; Metazoa; Chordata; Mammalia; Artiodactyla; Camelidae. RNAcentral also lists the same sequence under 1 other name.
GGGAGUAUAGCUUAGUGGUAGAGCAUGUGCGUGGCAUGCACAAGGCCCUUGGUUCAGUCCCCAGUGCUUCCA